This 783-nucleotide ribosomal RNA is filed under the name uncultured bacterium. RNAcentral's name for it is "bacterial SSU rRNA". It matches the Rfam family "Bacterial small subunit ribosomal RNA", at positions 28 to 774 of the family's 1533-position model. The record is from RNAcentral.
GACGAACGCUGGCGGCGUGCCUAAUACAUGCAAGUCGAGCGGACCAGAACGAAGGGAAACCGGAGUUCUGGUUUAGCGGCGCACGGGUGAGUAACGCGUAGGUAAUCUACUCCGAAGACCGGGAUAACACCUCGAAAGGGGUGCUAAUACUGGAUACGCUCUUUCUUUCGACGGAGGGGAAGAGGAAAGGUGGCGUAAGGCGCAAGCCUGCUACCACUUCGGAAUGAGCCUGCGUCCUAUUAGCUAGUUGGUAGGGUAAUGGCCUACCAAGGCUAUGAUGGGUAGCUGGUCUGAGAGGACGGUCAGCCACACUGGGACUGAGACACGGCCCAGACUCCUACGGGAGGCAGCAGUAGGGAAUAUUGGGCAAUGGGCGAAAGCCUGACCCAGCGACGCCGCGUGGGCGAUGAAGGUCUUUGGAUUGUAAAGCCCUUUUCAGGGAGACGAAGGGAUCGUCGGGAAAUACCUGAUGAUCUUUGACGGUAUCCCUGGAAUAAGCCCCGGCUAACUACGUGCCAGCAGCCGCGGUAAUACGUAGGGGGCGAGCGUUGUCCGGAAUUACUGGGUGUAAAGGGCGUGUAGGCGACCCCUUAAGUUGAAUGUGAAAUCUCCCGGCUCAACUGGGAGGAGUCAUUCAAUACUGAGGGGAUGUGAGGACAGAAGAGGGAAGUGGAAUUCCCGGUGUAGCGGUAAAAUGCGUAGAUAUCGGGAGGAACACCAGUGGCGAAGGCGGCUUCCUGGUCUGUCCCUGACGCUGAUGCGCGAAAGCCAGGGGAGCAAACG